This 67-nucleotide transfer RNA is filed under the name Spondylis buprestoides. RNAcentral describes it as "tRNA-Ser". Lineage: Eukaryota; Metazoa; Arthropoda; Insecta; Coleoptera; Cerambycidae. The record is from RNAcentral.
AGUUAAUGAAUUUGAAUAAAUAUAUAUUUUGAAAAUAUAAUAUAGAAGGAAAAUCUUCUAUUAACUU